Oryza nivara is the source of this 193-nucleotide non-coding RNA. The record is from Rfam. Lineage: Eukaryota; Viridiplantae; Streptophyta; Magnoliopsida; Poales; Poaceae.
UUAAAGUACAACCAUAAGUUUUUUUUCCUAACUUUGAUCGUCCGUUUUAUUUAAAAAAAUUUUACAAUUAAUAUUUUUAUUGUUAUGAGAUGAUAAAAUAUAAAUAAUAUUUUAUACGUGACUUAUGUUUUUAUUAUUUUUAAGUAAGACGGACGGUUAAAUUUGCGCAUGGAAAAUCAUGGUUAUACUUAAA